This 460-nucleotide ribosomal RNA is filed under the name uncultured bacterium. RNAcentral's name for it is "partial 16S ribosomal RNA". It matches the Rfam family "Bacterial small subunit ribosomal RNA", at positions 338 to 795 of the family's 1533-position model. The record is from RNAcentral.
CCUACGGGAGGCAGCAGUGAGGAAUAUUGGUCAAUGGCCGUAAGGCUGAACCAGCCAAGUCGCGUGAAGGAAGAAGGACCUAUGGUUUGUAAACUUCUUUUAUAGGGGAAUAAAGGUAUCUACGUGUGGAUAUUUGCAUGUACCCUAUGAAUAAGCAUCGGCUAAUUCCGUGCCAGCAGCCGCGGUAAUACGGAGGAUGCGAGCGUUAUCCGGAUUUAUUGGGUUUAAAGGGUGCGUAGGUUGUUUUUUAAGUCAGCUGUGAAAGUUUGUGGCUCAACCAUAGAAUUGCCGUGGAAACUGGAAGACUUGAGUGUGUUUGAGGCAGGCGGAAUGCGUGGUGUAGCGGUGAAAUGCAUAGAUAUGACGCAGAACCCCGAUUGCGAAGGCAGCUUACUACGCCAUAACUGACGCUGAAGCACGAAAGCGUGGGGAUCGAACAGGAUUAGAUACCCGAGUAGUC